Long non-coding RNA from Passer domesticus (house sparrow), 653 nucleotides. RefSeq lists it as uncharacterized. Lineage: Eukaryota; Metazoa; Chordata; Aves; Passeriformes; Passeridae. The record is from RefSeq and is a predicted model, not a curated record. The transcript is spliced from 3 exons.
UGGGGUGGAGGCUCCUGGCUGGGAUCUGCACCUGGUGAGGGAUCUGGGAGCUGCUUGCGGGUCUGUGGGUUACAGGACAAGGAGUGAGGCACAGGCAGGCACCACUGCAGACAUUCCAGUCAUGCUCCAGAAGGAGCAAGACUUGGUGCUGCUGAGCACGUGUUUCUCCUGGACCAGGCUGCUCCAAUUUCAGUAAUCAGUGGGUAGAGUUUGCAAGAACUAAAACCAGCUUGCACAGAAAGUGAAAGGACCAAGCUUUCCUAAACCCACCAUCCCCAGCUUCUGUGGGAAGGACUCCGAGCAUCUCCUCUGGAUGACACAGAUGCAGAAUGGCACAAGCCACAUCCUGGCUGGAGACUGCAUCACUUCAUGGACCGUAAAAAGCUCAGCAGUCAUCAAGGAGAAAAAAUUUCAGAACUGUUCCACCAGCUGUAGGUUUUACAAGCAUUUGAAAAGUUUUUAGUACUAUGACUUACUGUGUCUCAAAAGGAAAAGACUUGUGUGAAGUUGUCUGUGAGGUGAUGAAAGUCCAAGACAUGAUACAGAGGGGGAAAAGUCAAGUUAAUGUGUCUGCCCUGGCUCUGGAGUAUGAUGGUGUGCAGGAGCUGUGCUGCCCCUUGGACCCCACAGAGCCUCACAGCCUCCUCUGUUGU